Molecule: ribosomal RNA, 252 nt
Filed under: uncultured microorganism
Description: partial 16S ribosomal RNA
Rfam family: Bacterial small subunit ribosomal RNA
Source: RNAcentral
UACGUAGGGUGCGAGCGUUAAUCGGAUUUACUGGGCGUAAAGCGAGCGCAGGUGGUUUAAUAAGUCUGAUGUAAAAGGCAGUGGCUCAACCAUUGUGUGCAUUGGAAACUGUUAGACUUGAGUGCAGUAGAGGAGAGUGGAAUUCCAUGUGUAGCGGUGAAAUGCGUAGAGAUAUGGAGGAACACCAGUGGCGAAGGCGACCAUCUGGCUGAUAACUGACGCUGAGGUGCGAGAGCGUGGGGAGCAAACAGG